GAUGAACGCUGGCAGCGUGCCUAAUACAUGCAAGUCGAGCGAACGGACGAGAAGCUUGCUUCUCUGAUGUUAGCGGCGGACGGGUGAGUAACACGUGGAUAACCUACCUAUAAGACUGGGAUAACUUCGGGAAACCGGAGCUAAUACCGGAUGAUAUUUUGAACCGCAUGGUUCAAAAGUGAAAGACGGUCUUGCUGUCACUUAUAGAUGGAUCCGCGCUGCAUUAGCUAGUUGGUAAGGUAACGGCUUACCAAGGCAACGAUGCAUAGCCGACCUGAGAGGGUGAUCGGCCACACUGGAACUGAGACACGGUCCAGACUCCUACGGGAGGCAGCAGUAGGGAAUCUUCCACAAUGGGCGAAAGCCUGACGGAGCAACGCCGCGUGAGUGAUGAAGGUCUUCGGAUCGUAAAACUCUGUUAUUAGGGAAGAACAUAUGUGUAAGUAACUGUGCACAUCUUGACGGUACCUAAUCAGAAAGCCACGGCUAACUACGUG
Molecule: ribosomal RNA, 497 nt
Filed under: uncultured bacterium
Lineage: Bacteria
Description: partial 16S ribosomal RNA
Rfam family: Bacterial small subunit ribosomal RNA
Source: RNAcentral